Molecule: ribosomal RNA, 253 nt
Filed under: uncultured bacterium
Lineage: Bacteria
Description: partial 16S ribosomal RNA
Rfam family: Bacterial small subunit ribosomal RNA
Source: RNAcentral
UACGUAGGGUGCGAGCGUUGUCCGGAAUUAUUGGGCGUAAAGGGCUCGUAGGCGGUCUGUCGCGUCGGGAGUGAAAACUCAGGGCUUAACCCUGAGCCUGCUUCCGAUACGGGCAGACUAGAGGUAUGCAGGGGAGAACGGAAUUCCUGGUGUAGCGGUGAAAUGCGCAGAUAUCAGGAGGAACACCGGUGGCGAAGGCGGUUCUCUGGGCAUUACCUGACGCUGAGGAGCGAAAGUGUGGGGAGCGAACGGG